RNAcentral lists this ribosomal RNA (492 nucleotides) under uncultured bacterium. Its description in RNAcentral is "partial 16S ribosomal RNA". It matches the Rfam family "Bacterial small subunit ribosomal RNA", at positions 28 to 506 of the family's 1533-position model. The record is from RNAcentral.
GACGAACGCUGGCGGUGUGCUUAACACAUGCAAGUGGUGCGACGAACCAGAGCUUGCUCUGGGGCAAAGCCGCGAACGGGUGAGUAACACGUGGGUAAUCUACCCCGAUGACCGGGACAACCCGAGGAAACUCGGGCUAAUACCGGAUGUGGUGCGGAGACAUAAGUCUCUUCACUAAAGGUAGCUUCGGCUUCCGCAUUGGGAGGGGCCCGCGGCCCAUUAGCUUGUUGGUGGGGUCAAGGCCUACCAAGGCAACGAUGGGUAGCUGGUCUGAGAGGACGAUCAGCCACACUGGGACUGAGACACGGCCCAGGCUCCUACGGGAGGCAGCAGUGGGGAAUCUUGCGCAAUGCGCGAAAGCGUGACGCAGCAACACCGCGUGAGGGAAGAAGGCCUUAGGGUUGUAAACCGCUUUCAGAUGGGACGAAGGUUCUCCGGUGAAUAGCCGAGAGGAUUGACGGUACCGUCAGAAGAAGCUCCGGCUAACUACGU